GAGAACUCUACUACACUUUAAACUUCUAGAGAAAUAUUAGGAUUUAAAUGAACUGUUAGAUUUUAGCAAGGAAACAUAUUACCCAUUCUCUUUGUUGGAAUCUGAAUGAUGAUGAAGGAUUCAAGAAGUAUUUUGCUGCAUUCCACUUGUAUGAUAAAUUUCCAGUUGCAGUGAUUAUUGAUGAUUUUGGAGACCUUUUCGUAGAAAUGUACUCGCUUUCUUGUAAAUUAUUUCUCCAUCUCUCGUAGUUCAUAGUGUGAGAUUAAUAUUACUACCACGUUCAUAUUUUCUUUUAAAUUCUUUUUGUUUGUCUUUUACUUGCAAAAUUUUCUAAGGAGCUGCUAGGAGAUCAUAUAUCAGAAUCCUCGCGGAAGAGACUUAGCAAUAGUUCGGAUUCUCGCGGUUCUUAGCUAACAUCUUUUUAAGCUGUUUGAACAGUGAGAAAGGUCACUGCAAGCUUCUGCUUUCUGAUACCCGCCAUGGAGACUGCCUAAGGUUGCUCUUCGUCUAUAAAAGGUGGGUUCCAUCCAUUUUCACCAUCAAAGGUUGCACCAGAGUAAAACCUGUGAUUUGUGGUCCAGUGCAUCAAAAAUUAAUCUGUGCUCGAUGAAACAAACAUACAUUUCCAUAGUAUCACAGGUAAACUACAAUUCUUUCUGGUGACAUGACUUGUAAAAUCUUUGAAAAACUCGAUCAUGUCAUGUUUUCUUGUACCUUAAUUUUUUUUGUAGUUAUUGAAGUGUUGAAUGCUCACAUCCAGCAUUCCUACUUGUUUAUUUUGAAAUUUUCUCUCUUUGUUCUCCUUUUUAACAGCAGCUUGGAAAGAAAUGUACAUGUUCAACUCAGAGUCUAUUAUUCAACAACUUGGUUAGAUUCAUAUUUAACAAAAUUUUCUACCAAAACUCCUUUUUGUGCUAAGGAUUACAAAAUUCUCCACCAAGAUCACCACAAGCCUCUUCUAUUGUUGGCCUCAUAGCUCCAAACAACGUGAUGAUAACAGAACUUAUGAAAUUGUAUCUCACAAAUGUGCAAGAACUUUUUGAGUCAUAUUUUCAAGCGGCCUGAAAAGAAAUUUGAUGAAAUAAGCAUAUUGUCGGAUUAAGGGUGUCCUGUGUAUGUUUAAAAAAAGGCUCAAGGAUCAAAAGAGUUCUUUUGAACAAUGAAUGUCGACUUGGAGAGCUAAAGCUUUUGCUUUUCUUAUUUCUCUUAUUUUACUUUCAGUAUUUUAAUUUGAUUAUCUUGACAUAUUUGUGUUGGAUUGUUUGGCUAUUAAACUUUUGCUUGCUAUAUUUAAAGAAUUUCUAUGCAAGAUUAGUGCAAGUGUUGAGUUGAUCUUCUGUUGAUUAUAAGUUGUAAAUCAUUUUCAUCUGUUCUACCCCAUUUUGAGUUUCUAAAAUAAAACAUUUUCUGAUUCAUAAGUUUUAUUAGUAAAACUUUGCUCGAGUCUUCUUGCUUCACAUAUACUCAUUUGGUUACAUCUAAAUGCAUAGCGUCAAUUUUUCAUCAAACUUUAAGCAAGAACUGAAAAUUUAUUUACUAUUAAACUCACUACAUUCUUUGGGACAUCUAGGAACACCCUAUAACGAAUCAUCAAGCAUUAAACAGAAAAUCCUUAUCAGGAAUGUAACAACUUUGUUAAAUAUUCUGAAAUCUUACUUCUUGGGACUAUUGUACAGCUAAAUACUGUCUAUAGUGGUAGCAGUAGUGUUUUCGGUAUAACUGAUUUGAGCCUGAUUUCAGGACACAUUUCAACAUCACUAGAUUCCCCUCCCAUUGUCUCGCAAGCCUCAGCUGGG
This 1796-nucleotide unclassified non-coding RNA is filed under the name Hevea brasiliensis (rubber tree). Lineage: Eukaryota; Viridiplantae; Streptophyta; Magnoliopsida; Malpighiales; Euphorbiaceae. The record is from RNAcentral.